UACGUAGGGGGCAAGCGUUAUCCGGAUUUAUUGGGCAUAAAGGGCGUGUAGGUGGUACCUUAAGUCAGUUGUUAAAUGCAUAGGCUUAACUUAUGUUUGCGACUGAAACUGAGGUACUAGAGGUUAGUAGAGGAAAGCGGAACUCACAGUGUAGCGGUGAAAUGCGUAGAUAUUGUGAGGAACACCAGUUGCGAAGGCGGCUUUCUGGACUGAUCCUGACACUGAGGCGCGAAAGCGUGGGGAGCAAACGGG
This 252-nucleotide ribosomal RNA is filed under the name uncultured bacterium. RNAcentral describes it as "partial 16S ribosomal RNA". It matches the Rfam family "Bacterial small subunit ribosomal RNA", at positions 524 to 776 of the family's 1533-position model. The record is from RNAcentral.